AGUGGCGACCGGGUGAGUAACACGUGACUAACCUACCCUAGAGUGGGGAAUAACUUCGGGAAACCGAGGCUAAUACCGCAUAACAUCGCGAGGGGAAGAUCCUUGUGAUCAAAGGAGCAAUUCGCUCAAGGAGGGGGUCGCGGCUGAUUACGCUAGUUGGUGAGGUAACGGCCCACCAAGGCUCAGAUCAGUAGCCGGCCUGAGAGGGCGCACGGCCACACUGGAACUGAAACACGGUCCAGACUCCUACGGGAGGCAGCAGUGGGGAAUUUUGCGCAAUGGGGGAAACCCUGACGCAGCAACGCCGCGUGGAGGAUGAAGUCCCUUGGGAUGUAAACUCCUUUCGAUCGGGACGAUAAUGACGGUACCGGAAGAAGAAGCACCGGCUAACUCUGUGCCAGCAGCCGCGGUAAUACAGAGGGUGCAAGCGUUGUUCGGAAUUAUUGGGCGUAAAGGGCGCGUAGGCGGUGCGGUAAGUCUGUAGUGAAAUCUCUGGGCUCAACUCAGAGCUUGCUAUAGAAACUGCCGUGCUUGAGUGUGGGAGAGGUGAGUGGAAUUCCCGGGUGUAACGGUGAAAUGCGUAGAUAUCGGGAGGAACACCUGUG
This 605-nucleotide ribosomal RNA is filed under the name uncultured Candidatus Korobacter sp. RNAcentral's name for it is "bacterial SSU rRNA". It matches the Rfam family "Bacterial small subunit ribosomal RNA", at positions 94 to 714 of the family's 1533-position model. Lineage: Bacteria; Pseudomonadati; Acidobacteriota; Terriglobia; Terriglobales; Candidatus Korobacteraceae. The record is from RNAcentral.